Pantherophis guttatus is the source of this 1397-nucleotide non-coding RNA. NCBI's taxonomy places the organism in Eukaryota, Metazoa, Chordata, Lepidosauria, Squamata, Colubridae. The record is from RefSeq and is a predicted model, not a curated record.
AAACUGGGUCCUCAUUUCACCUACCUUAGAAAGGAUGGAAGGCUGAGUCAACCUUGAGCCUUGGAGAGAUUCGAACCAGCAGUAAUUGCAGGCAGCUGUGUUAAUAACAGGGUGCUUAGACCACUGUACUAUCAAGGCUCUGUACUAUCAAGACUUAUUUUCCUUUUCAGCCUAGCAAAUUUUCUUAAAAGGCUUGUACACCACAGAUGCACAGACUGAUCUAGGAUGCACAGAAUGAUCUAGGAUUUCAAUUAGUCAGGGGGAGGAGAAAGGGUUACUGGUUAUGUUGAUUACAAAUGAGAUGGGCUGCAAGUACCUGAAAUGGGUUAAAACCCGGCUGUGUUUGUUUAGAUCUUUUGAGAUAGCCCAAAACCCCUUUGAUGAUUCUGCAAUCUUUCAACCAUGCAGCUUUUCUUUUCCCCCCAAAUAGUCCCUUUGGGAUCUGCAAUAGAAUUUUCUUCAAGACUGAAAUGCUUUGACAUUUGUUGGUAACAAACCCUUUCUGAUUUUUGGCUACCACAGUACGCUCUCCUCCUACAGGACCUUGGCAAAGAUCAACUUUUAACUUACCUGGCUGAGAAGGUGGAAAUGUUGGAAUGAUGAUAAAGGAUGAUGUUCUUGCUUGUUUCUUGGAACAUACAGUUUCUGAAAAUACUCUUCGUGAGCAAGAACAGCAGUUACAAAGACGUCCUGGGCAAAUGUAAUUUUACUCCUUUUCGUAUUUACUCCUGCCACAAUUUUUUUUUCCAGAAGCCCAAAGCAGUUUCUUCUGAAUUGAAACUGCAGAAAAACCCACGUUCUAAGACCAGAAAGAAAAACCUGUAGCAGCUUCUGUGAAAAGGAAGCUGCUUUCCUGACAGUUCACACUGAAGAGGCACUUAAGAGAGGCAGGACUCUGGGAGGGGAUAUGUAAAGUCAUCCAGAUUAACAUAAAGAAGGAAUGCAGCCAAUGAAUAAUGUUUCGUUUUUCUUUCGUGGGAUUUAUUAACAGGAAUCUGAGAUAGUUGAGUUUCAUAUUCCCUACAGAUGAGUUGGAAGCAAGAUUUUUGUCCAGAAAACAACUGUGCUUUUCUACUCUGAAACUUUUAACAAAUCUAUGACAGCAUGUGUUUCUCUAGUGUCUUCCUUGGAUUUACUACAGCAAAAUAAUUUCUUCAAUUGGAAAGGGAUGAACUGAUUAGUAAUGUGCAUUUAUGUAACCAUAACUGUUGAGAGUGGAAGAACUAAGUUCUCAUUAACAAAAAAAGAGUAACUCUUUAAUCCUUGUGUGUGGUGCUAUCGAGAUUUUUUUCUGUAGGGAACAAACAAAAUGUUAAAAAGUUAUGAUGUUUAUGUACUGUAGUUACUUACCAAGCACAUCUAAAUCAUAUUAAAGUAACCACAAUAUUUUUACAAUC